This 483-nucleotide ribosomal RNA is filed under the name Staphylococcus aureus. Its description in RNAcentral is "partial 23S ribosomal RNA". It matches the Rfam family "Bacterial large subunit ribosomal RNA", at positions 1 to 476 of the family's 2925-position model. The record is from RNAcentral. Lineage: Bacteria; Bacillati; Bacillota; Bacilli; Caryophanales; Staphylococcaceae.
AGAUUAAGUUAUUAAGGGCGCACGGUGGAUGCCUUGGCACUAGAAGCCGAUGAAGGACGUUACUAACGACGAUAUGCUUUGGGGAGCUGUAAGUAAGCUUUGAUCCAGAGAUUUCCGAAUGGGGAAACCCAGCAUGAGUUAUGUCAUGUUAUCGAUAUGUGAAUACAUAGCAUAUCAGAAGGCACACCCGGAGAACUGAAACAUCUUAGUACCCGGAGGAAGAGAAAGAAAAUUCGAUUCCCUUAGUAGCGGCGAGCGAAACGGGAAGAGCCCAAACCAACAAGCUUGCUUGUUGGGGUUGUAGGACACUCUAUACGGAGUUACAAAGGACGACAUUAGACGAAUCAUCUGGAAAGAUGAAUCAAAGAAGGUAAUAAUCCUGUAGUCGAAAAUGUUGUCUCUCUUGAGUGGAUCCUGAGUACGACGGAGCACGUGAAAUUCCGUCGGAAUCUGGGAGGACCAUCUCCUAAGGCUAAAUACUCU